UAAAGAUUGCAUACUAGAGAGAGAGUCACU
RNAcentral lists this non-coding RNA (30 nucleotides) under Rattus norvegicus (Norway rat). Lineage: Eukaryota; Metazoa; Chordata; Mammalia; Rodentia; Muridae. The record is from RNAcentral.